This 569-nucleotide ribosomal RNA is filed under the name Pantoea sp. YL25(2011). RNAcentral describes it as "bacterial SSU rRNA". It matches the Rfam family "Bacterial small subunit ribosomal RNA", at positions 842 to 1411 of the family's 1533-position model. The record is from RNAcentral. Lineage: Bacteria; Pseudomonadati; Pseudomonadota; Gammaproteobacteria; Enterobacterales; Erwiniaceae.
GCUUCCGGAGCUAACGCGUUAAGUCGACCGCCUGGGGAGUACGGCCGCAAGGUUAAAACUCAAAUGAAUUGACGGGGGCCCGCACAAGCGGUGGAGCAUGUGGUUUAAUUCGAUGCAACGCGAAGAACCUUACCUACUCUUGACAUCCACGGAAUUCGGCAGAGAUGCCUUAGUGCCUUCGGGAACCGUGAGACAGGUGCUGCAUGGCUGUCGUCAGCUCGUGUUGUGAAAUGUUGGGUUAAGUCCCGCAACGAGCGCAACCCUUAUCCUUUGUUGCCAGCGAUUCGGUCGGGAACUCAAAGGAGACUGCCGGUGAUAAACCGGAGGAAGGUGGGGAUGACGUCAAGUCAUCAUGGCCCUUACGAGUAGGGCUACACACGUGCUACAAUGGCGCAUACAAAGAGAAGCGACCUCGCGAGAGCAAGCGGACCUCAUAAAGUGCGUCGUAGUCCGGAUCGGAGUCUGCAACUCGACUCCGUGAAGUCGGAAUCGCUAGUAAUCGUGGAUCAGAAUGCCACGGUGAAUACGUUCCCGGGCCUUGUACACACCGCCCGUCACACCAUGGGAGU